CGUAGCUGAGGGGCGAUGGGAGACAGGGAGCAUCCUGCCGUGCCACCGGCAGCCCGGGGACCAGUGCUGUGGGUGCCGGCAUGAAGCUCCUCCGUCUGUCAAAACGGGAGCUGCGGUUCUGGCUGCAGCGGCAGGAACUCAGCGCAGCCCUGCAGAGAGCGGUCCGGCAGCACNAGAAGAAGAUGACGGCCGUGGAGUGCGAGAGCCUCAGCAGCGUCUGCAGCCCGUGAGGAGCUGAGCGGGGCUGGGAAGAGGAAGCUGUGGGAGUCCUGGGGAGGGGCGCGCAAUGACAGCAUCAGUGGCAGAAUCAUCUGCUUCCUCCUCCGCUCCUGAUACCGUGCGCUGGUUUUCUUUGAGAAGCCAGUGCAGAACCAGACUCCACUGUCACAUCUGUGGGGUUCCACAGAACACACAGACAUGGGGGACACAGUGUGUUGGAUUGCUGUUUGUUGCAGAACACCAGCACAGGGCAGGACUGGGGACUGGGAAGAUCACAGAAGAUCACAGAAACACCAAGGUUAGAGAAGUCCUACAAGAUCAUCCAGUCCAACCAUCCACCUAUCACCAAUAGUUCUCACUAAACCAUAUCCCUCAACACGAAAUCCGAACGUUCCUUGAACAACUCUAGGGUUGGUGACUCCACCACCUCCGUGGGCAGCCCAUUCCACUGCCUGACCA
Molecule: non-coding RNA, 678 nt
Organism: Phasianus colchicus (ring-necked pheasant)
Lineage: Eukaryota; Metazoa; Chordata; Aves; Galliformes; Phasianidae
Source: RefSeq, a predicted model, not a curated record